AGUGGCGAACGGGUGAGUAACACGUGGGCAAUCUGCCCUUCACUCUGGGACAAGCCCUGGAAACGGGGUCUAAUACCGGAUACGACUGCGGAAGGCAUCUUCUGCGGUGGAAAGCUCCGGCGGUGAAGGAUGAGCCCGCGGCCUAUCAGCUUGUUGGUGGGGUAAUGGCCUACCAAGGCGACGACGGGUAGCCGGCCUGAGAGGGCGACCGGCCACACUGGGACUGAGACACGGCCCAGACUCCUACGGGAGGCAGCAGUGGGGAAUAUUGCACAAUGGGCGAAAGCCUGAUGCAGCGACGCCGCGUGAGGGAUGACGGCCUUCGGGUUGUAAACCUCUUUCAGCAGGGAAGAAGCGAAAGUGACGGUACCUGCAGAAGAAGCGCCGGCUAACUACGUGCCAGCAGCCGCGGUAAUACGUAGGGCGCAAGCGUUGUCCGGAAUUAUUGGGCGUAAAGAGCUCGUAGGCGGCUUGUCACGUCGGAUGUGAAAGCCCGAGGCUUAACCUCGGGUCUGCAUUCGAUACGGGCUAGCUAGAGUGUGGUAGGGGAGAUCGGAAUUCCUGGUGUAGCGGUGAAAUGCGCAGAUAUCAGGAGGAACACCGGUGGCGAAGGCGGAUCUCUGGGCCAUUACUGACGCUGAGGAGCGAAAGCGUGGGGAGCGAACAGGAUUAGAUACCCUGGUAGUCCACGCCGUAAACGUUGGGAACUAGGUGUUGGCGA
Molecule: ribosomal RNA, 721 nt
Filed under: Actinomycetes bacterium
Lineage: Bacteria; Bacillati; Actinomycetota; Actinomycetes
Description: bacterial SSU rRNA
Rfam family: Bacterial small subunit ribosomal RNA
Source: RNAcentral